UGCCUUGUGCAAGGAGAUGACUAUUUACUAUGGUUCUUUUGCACUCAUUUACUUGCUCCUUUGCUUUUCUCUGCAAGUAAUCCAUCAGUAAUUUGGAGCUAGGGGGCAGAAUCUACGGUUUCUUACUCUCAUGCUGAUGCCCCUCCAUCUUUGCAACUAUUGGUGAAUUGUUGGUCAUAUGGAACAUUUUCCUGAAAAAAGUUGAAAGAAAGUAAUGAAAUGGAGAUCCAAUCAAUAAAUCCAAUGCAAACUAUACAAAAAGAUCCAAAAGAUCAAAGGGAAGAAAAGAAAAUCUUUCACAAGAUAAUAUUGUGAAAUUUUUCCUAAAUCAUGAGUUGUUUAUGGGUAAGUUUAAAUGUUUAAUAAGUAGUCCCCUAGAUUUUAUGUGUUAUUGGACUUGUGACAAAAUCGAAGGAUUGAUGAGUUGCAUCACAAUACCAAAUACAAGAUGUUUCUCAACUCCACUUGGAACAAAUACUUCCACAAAUACAAAUUGAAAAAGAACGAAAAAUGAUUCCUACAGGAGGAGGAAUAAUUCUGUAUGCAGUGGAUUGAUGCAGGAAGGCUGUGAGAUCAAGCGUGAGUUCUAGAUUUAAGUGAAGAAAAGAAACAAUGAAAUUGAUGUGCCUUGCGCAUGAUAUAGCAAAUUAGAAAUGCUGAAAGCACGCUGUGAAAUGCACAAAGAAAUGUUAUUGAAUCUAUUGAUUUUCAGGGACUUGUUCCAAUUUUUUAUUAAAAAUGCACUGAAUUUCUCCGGAUUUGUGAUGAAUCUUAGCAAUCAAAGGGAAUGGAACACAGAAAUGUAAAAAUAUCAUUCAGCAACCAUUAAAAUAGCCAUACGUAUAGGCAAAAUCUAGAGAUGUAGAAGUAGGAAAAUGAGUGUAUGUA
RNAcentral lists this unclassified non-coding RNA (888 nucleotides) under Hevea brasiliensis (rubber tree). Lineage: Eukaryota; Viridiplantae; Streptophyta; Magnoliopsida; Malpighiales; Euphorbiaceae. The record is from RNAcentral.